GUCCUUUAGUAUAUAAUUUAAGGUUUAACCUGCCCUAUGAUUAAUAUUUAAUGGCCGCAGUAAUUUGACUGUGCAAAGGUAGCAUAAUCAUUAGUUUUUUAAUUAAAAGCUUGUAUGAAUGGUUGGACGAGAUAAAUUCUGUCUCUUAAUAAUAAUUAGAAUUUAAUUUUUAAGUUAAAAAGCUUAAAUAAUUAUAAAAGACGAGAAGACCCUAUAGAUUUUUAUUUAAUUUUAAUUAAUUAUUUUUUAAGAUUAAUAAUUAGAUUAGUUAUAAUUAAAUUUUAUUGGGGUAAUAAAAAGAUUAAGAUAAUUCUUUUUUAAUAUUUACAUAAAUAUUUGAAUAUAUGAUCCAGAAUUUUUGAUAAAAGAUUAAAUUACCUUAGGGAUAACAGCGUAAUUUUUUUAAAGAGUUCUUAUCAAUAAAAAAGUUUGCGACCUCGAUGUUGGAUUAAAAAAUAUUUUAGGUGCAGAAGCUUAAAUUAAUGGUCUGUUCGACCAGUAGUUUUUU
This 508-nucleotide ribosomal RNA is filed under the name Desmopachria convexa. RNAcentral's name for it is "partial 16S ribosomal RNA". The stretch from base 385 to 508 matches the Rfam family "Bacterial large subunit ribosomal RNA", at positions 2473 to 2597 of the family's 2925-position model. The record is from RNAcentral. Lineage: Eukaryota; Metazoa; Arthropoda; Insecta; Coleoptera; Dytiscidae.